This 981-nucleotide ribosomal RNA is filed under the name Lingulaulax polyedra. RNAcentral describes it as "Lingulodinium polyedra partial large subunit ribosomal RNA". The record is from RNAcentral. Lineage: Eukaryota; Dinophyceae; Gonyaulacales; Lingulodiniaceae.
ACCCGCUGAAUUUAAGCAUAUAAGUAAGCGGAGGACUUGAAACCAAACAGGAUUCCUUCAGUAACGGCGAGUGAACAGGGAGUAGCUCAGCAUGGAAAUUGGGGCUGGUAGCCUUGAGUUGUAGUCUGGAGAUGCGUUGCCAAUGGGGGUGCAGAUGUAAGCCUCUUGGAAAAGAGCACUAAUGAGGGUGACAGUCCUGUUUGCCAUCUGUCGUCUUCCAUGCACGGCGUGCUUUCUACGAGUCACGUUCCUUGGGCUUGGAGCGCCAAUGUGGUGGUAAUUUUCACCCCAAGCUAAAUACAUGUUCAGGACCGACAGCAAACAAGUACCAUGAGGGAAAGGUGAAAAGGACUUUGAGAAGAGUGUUAAAAGUGCAUGAAUUUGCUGAAUGUAAGUGAAUGGAACCGUUUGUCUGGGUAAGAUUGCCACACUUGUCUGUGACGUGGUGCCUGAUUUCGCAAGUAUUGCAGUGCUGCGUUGUUUGUGUAUGUGUGGUGUUUCUUGCCUUGCUAGUCACUGUCAGUGUGCAACUGUGCAUGAAAUCAAGGAUUUGYGUGUUCACUUGUGGUGGCCAUGCAUGWCUUGAGUGUGCACACUUGUACAUUGCUUGGUGUGUGCCGGGGUGGAGUGUUGCAGGCUGCUCUUUGUUGCUGAGAAAMUGUUCUCUUCAUGAGGUGUGYGCUUGGGACAUAUUCUUGUUUGCGCCAACRKUGACUAAAUGGCUCUAUUCGACCCGUCUUGAAACACGGACCAAGGAGUCUAACGCAUGUGUAAGUUUGCGGGUGGCCAACUUGUGUGCGACAUGAARGUGUUUGUUGGGAUUCUGUGCACUAACAAUGGACCAAUCGUGUGGGAGAGGUUUGAGUUGGAGCACAUGCGUUAGGACCCGAAAGAUGGUGAACUAUGCCUGAGGAGGGCAAAUUCAGGGGAAACUCUGAUGGAGGCUUGUAGCGAUACUGACGUGCAAAUCGUUCGUCUCAC